GAUGAAGAACGUAGCGAAAUGCGAUAAGUAAUGUGAAUUGCAGAAUUCAGUGAAUCAUCGAAUCUUUGAACGCACAUUGCGCCCCCUGGUAUUCCGGGGGGCAUGCCUGCCCGAGCGUCAUUACAACCCUCAAGCUCUGCUUGGUGUUGGGCCCCGCCGCCCCGGCGGGCCCUAAAGUCAGUGGCGGUGCCAUCCGGCUCCGAGCGUAGUAAUUCUUCUCGCUCUGGAGGUCCGGUUGUGUGCUUGCCAUCAACCCCCAAUUUUUUUCAGGUUGACCUCGGAUCAGGUAGGGAUACCCGCUGAACUUAAGCAUAUCAAUAAGCGGAGGA
RNAcentral lists this unclassified non-coding RNA (329 nucleotides) under soil metagenome. RNAcentral describes it as "partial contains 5.8S ribosomal RNA, internal transcribed spacer 2, and large subunit ribosomal RNA". The stretch from base 1 to 120 matches the Rfam family "5.8S ribosomal RNA", at positions 35 to 154 of the family's 154-position model. The record is from RNAcentral.